RNAcentral lists this ribosomal RNA (839 nucleotides) under uncultured bacterium. RNAcentral describes it as "bacterial SSU rRNA". It matches the Rfam family "Bacterial small subunit ribosomal RNA", at positions 26 to 896 of the family's 1533-position model. The record is from RNAcentral.
AGGAUGAACGCUGGCGGCGUGCUAACACAUGCAAGUCGAACGCGCAGCACCCUUCGGGGUGUGGGCGAGUGGCGAACGGGUGCGUAACACGUAGGAACCUGGCCUGGAGUGGGGGAAAACGGCUGGAAACGGUCGCUAAUCCCGCAUGAGCUCGCCUUCGGGUGAGGAAAGCUUUAUGUGCUCCAGGAUGGGCCUGCGGCCUAUCAGGUAGUUGGUAGGGUAACGGCCUACCAAGCCGACGACGGGUAGGGGGCGUGAGAGCGUGGCCCCCCACACGGGAACUGAGACACGGUCCCGACGCCUACGGGCGGCAGCAGUGAGGAAUCUUGCGCAAUGGGGGCAACCCUGACGCAGCGACGCCGCGUGCGGGAAGAAGGCCUUCGGGUCGUAAACCGCUUUUCUGGAGGAAGAGGAAGGACGGUACUCCAGGAAUAAGUCCCGGCUAACUACGUGCCAGCAGCCGCGGUAAAACGUAGGGGGCGAGCGUUAUCCAGAAUCACUGGGCGUAAAGGGCGUCUAGGCGGUCCAGUAAGUCCUGCGUGAAAGCUCCCGGCUCAACUGGGAGAGCGCGUGGGAGACUGUUGGGCUAGAGACUCGGAGAGGGGUGUGGAAUUCCCGGUGGAGUGGUGAAAUGCGUUGAGAUCGGGAGGAACACCAGUGGCGAAGGCGGCACCCUGGCCGAGUUCUGACGCUGAAGCACGAAAGCGUGGGGAGCAAACAGGAUUAGAUACCCUGGUAGUCCACGCCCUAAACUAUGGACACUAAGUGCCGGCGGGUUACCGUCGGUGCCGCAGCUAACGCAUUAAGUGUCCCGCCUGGGGAGUACGGCCGCAAGGUUG